This 690-nucleotide long non-coding RNA is filed under the name Chloebia gouldiae (Gouldian finch). RNAcentral's name for it is "Erythrura gouldiae (Gouldian finch) lncRNA (ENSEGOG00005006798.1)". The record is from RNAcentral. Lineage: Eukaryota; Metazoa; Chordata; Aves; Passeriformes; Passeridae.
AUGCCAGACGGGUCUUUCCAACUCCCUCCUGCCUGUUCUGCCGGCCUCCAAGUAAUUUUUGGCAGUGGCCGGCCUGCGGCCGUGGUGCCACUUGCAGCUCAGGCGUCCCCAAGGCCAGCAGAGGCGGCGCUCCGCGCUGUCCGGGACAGACACCCCGCGGAAGACGCGGCCGGCAGCGGGGCGGGCUCGCUCCCCGGCGGGGUCGGGAGAAAGCACCCCCUGCCCCGUCCUCCGCCCAGGCUGAACUCCCGGCGUCGGUUUUCGGAAGGAGAAAGGAGAGAUUCAGGAGAGAAGCUCACCGAGUGCAACAGGUCGCUUCAGCUGCUCCCGGGACCUCAUGAAACCAAGUACCCCUUCCCUGUCCUUCCUCCUCUGGCUCCCCUGGUCGCGAUUUGCUCUGGGAUACGCUUUGAAGGGAGAUGCGAGACGUCCCGCUUGGACAAGACGCGGAGCCGUCGCCCCUGCUCAGCCUCUGCAGAGGAACAGGAGGAGAAGGAGCAGAGGAUGAGGAUGCCGUGUCCCUAAGUUACGGCACUGUGGUACCUUUCCGCGCGUCUCUUCCAUUCCCUCUCACACCCCACACCCCCUUUUGAGACCCCCUUUGCCACCGGCCAUGUGUGUGAAUUCCCAGUGUUCUCAGGAGGCUGACCAGUUUGGAAAUCAGCAAAUAAAUACUUAAAAAUGCAUACA